This 547-nucleotide ribosomal RNA is filed under the name uncultured Glomus. Its description in RNAcentral is "SSU rRNA". It matches the Rfam family "Eukaryotic small subunit ribosomal RNA", at positions 548 to 1098 of the family's 1831-position model. The record is from RNAcentral. Lineage: Eukaryota; Fungi; Glomeromycota; Glomeromycetes; Glomerales; Glomeraceae.
UUGGAGGGCAAGUCUGGUGCCAGCAGCCGCGGUAAUUCCAGCUCCAAUAGCGUAUAUUAAAGUUGUUGCAGUUAAAAAGCUCGUAGUUGAAUUUCGGGAUCAAUUUAUUGGUCGUGCUAUUGUACGUACUGGUAUUAUUGAUUCCUACCUUCUGACGAACCAUGAUGUCAUUAAUUUGGUGUCAUGGGGAAUCAGGACUGUUGCUUUGAAAAAAUUAGAGUGUUUAAAGCAGGCUCACGCUUGAAUACAUUAGCAUGGAAUAACGAAAUAGGACGUUUGAUUCUAUUUUGUUGGUUUCUAGGAUCGACGUAUGAUUAAUAGGGAUAGUUGGGGGCAUUAGUAUUCAAUUGUCAGAGGUGAAAUUCUUGGAUUUAUUGAAGACUAACUACUGCGAAAGCAUUUGCCAAGGAUGUUUUCAUUAAUCAAGAACGAAAGUUAGGGGAUCGAAGACGAUCAGAUACCGUCGUAGUCUUAACCAUAAACUAUGCCGACUAGGGAUCGGAUGAUGUUAAUUUUUUAAUGACUCAUUCGGCGCCUUACGGGAAAC